RNAcentral lists this small RNA (170 nucleotides) under Streptomyces sp. Its description in RNAcentral is "c-di-AMP sequence". It matches the Rfam family "c-di-AMP riboswitch aptamer (ydaO/yuaA leader)". From Rfam's summary of the family: This family represents a conserved RNA structure found upstream of the ydaO and yuaA genes in Bacillus subtilis and related genes in other bacteria. The ydaO/yuaA element is thought to act as a genetic "off" switch for the ydaO and yuaA genes in its native state. It is believed that the element may be triggered during osmotic shock leading to activation of ydaO, a predicted amino acid transporter gene, and members of the yuaA-yubG operon which code for KtrA and KtrB K+ transporters. RNAcentral also lists the same sequence under 1 other name. The record is from RNAcentral. Lineage: Bacteria; Bacillati; Actinomycetota; Actinomycetes; Kitasatosporales; Streptomycetaceae.
GGACAGCCAUCGCCGAGUCCCCGCCGGGCGUGAGCCCUGGGGAGCCGGGGACCCAAUGAAGUCCCUGGGGUGAAUCGGAAGCCUGAGCCUCGGUGAGGCCGGGGCCUUCGUAGGAGACCUUCCUGCUCCGAACCCGUCAGCUAACCCGGUAGGCGAGAGGGAAGGAAAGG